This 468-nucleotide ribosomal RNA is filed under the name uncultured bacterium. RNAcentral describes it as "partial 16S ribosomal RNA". It matches the Rfam family "Bacterial small subunit ribosomal RNA", at positions 28 to 507 of the family's 1533-position model. The record is from RNAcentral.
GACGAACGCUGGCGGCGUGCUUAACACAUGCAAGUCGAACGGAAAGGCCCUGCUUUUGUGGGGUGCUCGAGUGGCGAACGGGUGAGUAACACGUGAGUAACCUGCCCUUGACUUUGGGAUAACUUCAGGAAACUGGGGCUAAUACCGGAUAGGAGCUCCUGCUGCAUGGUGGGGGUUGGAAAGUUUCGGCGGUUGGGGAUGGACUCGCGGCUUAUCAGCUUGUUGGUGGGGUAGUGGCUUACCAAGGCUUUGACGGGUAGCCGGCCUGAGAGGGUGACCGGCAACAUUGGGACUGAGAUACGGCCCAGACUCCUACGGGAGGGAGCAGUGGGGAAUAGUGCACAAUGGGCGGAAGCCUGAUGCAGCAACGCCGCGUGCGGGAUGACGGCCUUCGGGUUGUAAACCGCUUUCGCAUGUGACGAAGCGUGAGUGACGGUAAUGGGUAAAGAAGCACCGGCUAACUACGUG